CACGCUAGUGACUAAGCGAGCAUCACUAGCCAUGGCUUCGUUGAAGAAAUAGUUGAGCUGAGGUUCAUGGCCAGCAUAAUCCCAUAAUGUCCGCUCGUGAGCAGUGUCAAACGGAGUGGGAUCAUCGUUUUGAAACCAAGCACUCACAUAAUGCCAUGGUUUAGUUAACGUUGGGUCGAGCAUGGCAAGCAAGAAGGGCCUUACGCUCAAGGAGUCAUCCUUUAGGAGGAGCCGAGAGGCAUGCGUAAGCACAUACCCCUCUUCUUCCUCACUCUGUUGGGCUCUUUGCGCAGCGAAGAAGUCAGAUUGAACAAGAACACGCAUGAGACGGUACACGUACUGGGUCUUUUUUGGGUGGACCGGGAGUUUAGCAACCAGCUCAGGAAGAGUCAUGGGCUUGCCAUGGUUGUGGAUGAUGUCUGGGAUGCCUAGUUGAAUAGCACAUUUCAGUGACAUGGAGUUGACGAAAUUGAAUAUGUGGUUCCAGACAUGAGCUUGAGCUUGAAGCAGCUCACUUGAUAUCUCACCAUUUGCCGGAUCCAUGUACCUCACACUGACCUCUUACGCUGCUAAUUUUUUUCAUAUUCCAACCUGGAACCUUAACCUCUUUAUAUAGCAUUGGGCGUUGGACCUCGUGAAAAAUAUAAAUUUCAAAAAUCAUGUGUGAAUUCUAGAGGUGGGUCGUUCAAAUGUAUACAAAAAAAUGGUUAUUCCGUCCACUAGAUUACGCUGUGGCAGACUCGAAAUCCGCCAGCACAUGCCACUCCUGUUGGGUCCUUGUGCUUUGCAAUAUUCACUUAUAAAUUAAUCAUUAAUUUUCUCUAUUGGGUUAAUUGACUGAAAUCACCUAAAUGGGACUAGGAAAGGGAUGUACAUACUAUUCCCAGUAAUAUUUUAAUUACAGCAGCCCACAACAAGUUUAUCGUGUUUAAUGGAUAUAAGAGAUAAGUACUAGCACGUGCGCAAGACUGGGUCCGUCCCAUCAUUUAAAGGCGAAAAGAUUAAGCUUCAUGCCAAACGUUUUCGCUGUAGCUUUUAUUUGUUUAGUGUAUAUAUAUACAUAUCUUUCAUUAGGAAAACCAUUUCCUCUUGUCUAACUAGUGUAACAAAAUUAAUUUAUACUUUUGUGGGGUAUUGGACCAACAAAAUUGGUCCAGAUGCAGAUGGCAGAAACUUGGCCAAAAGCAAAUAUAAAUUUUUGGAGGUGGACAAAACUUUUUAUGCCAAUGGCAGAAAUAUUUUUUAUAACAAGAAAUCUAUACAUGUGAUUAUAUCGAAAGAUAUGUUUCACAUGUUAGCAAUGGAUUACGGAUGAUAAUGACCUAAAUCGGAUGAUAAUAAUGAACCAAACAGGAUAGCGUGUUUAAGAAUUCCUUCCAAAUUCUCAAAUAAUGAUUUGAAAAGGUAAUCGAUCUAGAAUUUCAAUUAUACUUUUUUUUUUCCUUUUAUUCUUAUCUAACUUCACCUUUUUGUUGUUUUUUUUUCUUUUUUACACAUUAUUACUAUUAAUUAUUAAUAUUAAAAAUAAUAUUACUAUAUUUUGAUUAUUACUACUACAAAAAAUCCUAGAAGAUGAUUUCUAUUUUUUUUAAUUCUUAAAGUUUGUAAGUUUUAUUAAAAAAACAUUCUUUGUUUUUUACUUUUUAUACUUUAUGUACUACAUUAAGAGGAAUUAAAUUAUUAUUUUUAUUAUUAUUAACACCUCAUUAAUAUUAUUAUUUAUGAUAUUAGUUUAUAUUAAAUUAUUAUUUUUAUUAUUAUUAACACCUCAUUAAUUUUAUCAAAAUGAAAAAUUAUUCUCCUCCAGAAGGGGGGAGAGGAUUGGAAAGUAGAAGCAAUGGAGAUAAUGAGGAAAGGCAACAAUCAACCAAAUUACUCCUCUUCAGGACAGAUGCAAUAAAUAAACAAAAACAAUAACACUAGUAUAUUCCAAAUUCCACUGGCAUUUUGGUUCUUCUGUUCUGAACAGUAAAACAAGUGCUACAAAAAGGAAAAACAAACCUUCCGUCUUUGUUUACAACACUGCAAGAAAACAUUGCCACCUGGGGUUAUUAAAGACUGAAAAGGAGGUACCUGCUCAGGUGUCGACUUCCACAAAUUAAUCUAUCAAACUUCUUGACUUUAAGCCAAUUCCAGAACUAAAAAUUGCAGCUGUUCAGAGUGUUUGAGUCAAUCGAGUCCAUCCUCAUCUUUGUAAAGAAGCCCAACUUCAUGUGAAAAAUCUGUAAAUGGCCAUUUGGUGGAAAUUAGAAACGAUAAGAGUCAAUAUAACUGCUCAAUACCAUUGAACUAUACUAACAUAUACUCUGAUAUAUAUAUUAUAACAAUGCAUCAUGUAGUUAACACAUCUAACUACAUUAAGGCAUCAAGAUUUGAGCAGAAGACAUAUUCCAGCCUCAUCCAUAGAGUGAGGAAAAGCCACCACAAGUAUAGAGCUGCAGCAAAGGAACACAACAUAGGCUCACAUAUUUCAUUUCAAAACACUAAGGUUAUGUUUUAUUCCCAGAAAAUAUUUGAGGAAAAAUGUGGGAGAAAGAAAAUAAAGAGAAAAAGUAGAAGGAAAAUAAAAAUAAAUUUAAAAUAAAUAAAUUAUUUUUAUAUGAUACUUCAAAAUCAUUUCACUUAUUCUAACUCUUCUAUGUAAAAAUAAAUAUAAAUCCUAAUUUCUUGAUUUCAUAAGGCGGUAGAAACACAGCUAUUCAUAGACAUGCUUAUGAUGGUUGUAGUUGCGGGGAAUGAGAGAAAUGAGAAAGAAUGGGAGAAGCUAUUUUUGGCUGCAGGCUUCACUCACUAUAUUUCCUAAUCAUGUCUUUAAAUUAAGAAAGUUUUCUAUGGUUCAAAACAAGGUCCAAGAGGUUGGUACGUGUGAAAGAUUGUGAAAACUUCUUUGGGAAAUGGUUUUUGAAAUGGGAAAAGUAGAUAUAUACAACCAUGCUCAUAAAAAUGAUAAAUGAUUGAAGAAUUUGAAGACUAAAAUAUGAAGAAUUUGAAGACAAACUAUGGAGGAACACCUCAAUUCAUUCUGUGAUACCUUUCUUUACAAAGAAUGAAAGCAUAAAUAAAUAGCCUACAAAUAUGAGACAAUUCCGGAAUGGUACACUAUCACCGGACGGAAUUUCUCUUACAUGGAAAGUGAAUAAACUCUUACAUGGGAAGCGAAUAAACUACUCUUACAUGGAAAGUGAAUAAACUACCUUGCUAGAAUUACUCCUAAAUCAAUUAUAAUAAAAGAUGUACAUUACACUAAUUCAGGGAAGUAAACAGAGGAUGCUAAAUAUGGGGAGGAACAUGCAAGGUAGGAAGGCGACGUGGGCUUGAUUUCCAACACUCCCCCUCAAGCCACGUUGUAGAUGUUGAUCAUUCCAAGUUUUUCUAUCAGAUCUUCGAAGUUAACUCGAGCAAGAGCUUUUGUGAGAAUGUCAGCCGUUUGACAGUUUGUCGGAGUGUAGCUGACUUUGAAAACUCCUUCUUCAAUCUUUUCCUUGAUAAAGUGUCGAUCUAUCUCCACGUGCUUAGUUCGAUCAUGAUGAACCGGAUUCUUAGCGAUACUGAUGGCAGCUUGAUUGUCGCAGUAUAACACCAUGGGAUGCUUCAAUGGAACCCGUAAUUCUUCUAACAGCCUGUUCAACCAGAUUCCCUCGCAGAUACCUUGUGCCAUAGCACGAAAUUCUGCCUCAGCAUUGCUACGGGCUACCACUGACUGUUUCUUGCUUUGCCAUGUAACCAAGUUCCCCCAGACAAAUGAACAAUAGCCUAAAGUUGAUCUCCGAUCAGUCAUUGAACCUGCCCAAUCUGCAUCUGAAAAAAAUCUCAAUCUCUUUCUUUGUUGUUCUUUGAAAGAAGAGACCCUUUCCCGGUGUCAUCUUGAGGUAUCUCAAUAUUCUGAUCACAGCAGUCAUGUGUUUUUCGGUUGGAUUAUUCAUGAAUUGACUUACCACACUAACGGAGAAGCCGAUGUCUGGCCUUGUAUGAGAAAGAUAGAUGAGUUUCCCCACAAGAUGUUGAUAUCUUCCUUUAUCAACUGGCGCACUUCCAUCACUUUCUUCCAGUUUGACAGUUGUAUCCAUAGGUGUUUCUGCCGGCUUGCAUCCUAGCAUUCCUGUUUCAUUCAAUAAGUCCAGAACGUAUUUGCGUUGUGAGACUGCUAUACCUUUCUUUGACCUAGCAAUCUUCAUUCCGAGAAAGUACUUGAGGUUUCCAAGAUCCUUGAUCUCAAAUUCCUUUGUCAGUAAUUUUUUAAGUAAGUCAAUUUUCUCUUCAUGAUCACCUGUCAAAAUUAUGUCAUCCACAUAUACAAUGAUAAUUGCCAGUUUCCCUNNNNNNNNNNNNNNNNNNNNNNNNNNNNNNNNNNNNNNNNNNNNNNNNNNNNNNNNNNNNNNNNNNNNNNNNNNNNNNNNNNNNNNNNNNNNNNNNNNNNCCACUGUUCCCGUGCCACCCCCUACAUCAACUAACGAAUUCAACCCCUCAAAUACGCCCUUGCCCUCCUUAACCAGCACGCUAGUGACUAAGCGAGCAUCACUAGCCAUGGCUUCGUUGAAGAAAUAGUUGAGCUGAGGUUCAUGGCCAGCAUAAUCCCAUAAUGUCCGCUCGUGAGCAGUGUCAAACGGAGUGGGAUCAUCAUUUUGAAACCAAGCACUCACAUAAUGCCAUGGUUUAGUUAAAGUUGGGUCGAGCAUGGCAAGCAAGAAGGGCCUUACGCUCAAGGAGUCAUCCUUUAGGAGAAGCCGAGAGGCAUGCGUAAGCACAUACCCCUCUUCUUCCUCACUCUGUUGGGCUCUUUGCGCAGCGAAGAAGUCAGAUUGAACAAGAACACGCAUGAGACGGUACACAUACUGGGUCUUUUUUGGGUGGACUGGGAGCUUAGCAACCAGCUGAGGAAGAGUCAUGGGCUUGCCAUGGUUGUGGAUGAUGUCUGGGAUGCCUAGUUGAAUAGCACAUUUCAGUGACAUGGAGUUGACGAAAUUGAAUAUGUGGUUCUCUAAUUGGUUUCCAUUCUUGCUGUUAUUGACUAGUCAAUUGUUCCACACACAAUUGAGUACUAUUGAGG
This 5047-nucleotide long non-coding RNA is filed under the name Vitis vinifera (wine grape). RNAcentral describes it as "long non-coding RNA (VVIN_LNC003685)". Lineage: Eukaryota; Viridiplantae; Streptophyta; Magnoliopsida; Vitales; Vitaceae. The record is from RNAcentral.